RNAcentral lists this ribosomal RNA (253 nucleotides) under uncultured bacterium. RNAcentral describes it as "partial 16S ribosomal RNA". It matches the Rfam family "Bacterial small subunit ribosomal RNA", at positions 524 to 776 of the family's 1533-position model. The record is from RNAcentral.
UACGUAGGGGGCUAGCGCUGUCCGGAUUUAUUGGGCGUAAAGAGCGUGUAGGCGGCCAUGUAGGUCCGGUGUGAAAACUCGAGGCUUAACCUCGAGAUGUCAUCGGAAACCAUUUGGCUAGAGUCCGGAAGAGGAGAGUGGAAUUCCUGGUGUAGCGGUGAAAUGCGCAGAUAUCAGGAGGAACACCGAUGGCGAAGGCAGGUCUCUGGGCAUUAACUGACGCUGAGGAGCGAAAGCAUGGGGAGCGAACAGG